GGGACACAGCAGGCUCACUCCCGGGGCUCAGGGCGCCCGAGAGGCAGGACCACCAGGCUGAUUCUGCUCCUCCUCCCAUGCUCGUUCCCGUGGGCCUGCCUCUCAGGGAAAAUGUUGCACAUGGGAGAUUCCAGAAUGACAUCAAGGACACCGGGAUAGAAAACCAACAGGACAACAGCAGCUGGGACACCCAAAGAGAUAAAAGCACACAGAAGUCCCAGAGAACCAGAGUGGUAAACACGCAGGUACAUAAGCAGGAUAAAAUAUGCAACAGGCGAAGGCAAAGAGAUGGGGAUUCAUACAGAGGCAGCAGCAGAGGGCUUCUAUGCACACACCCUAGGAUACCCUCAAGUCAGCAGAACAACGUGUGCCACG
This is a long non-coding RNA of Canis lupus familiaris (dog), 375 nucleotides long. RefSeq lists it as uncharacterized. NCBI's taxonomy places the organism in Eukaryota, Metazoa, Chordata, Mammalia, Carnivora, Canidae. The record is from RefSeq and is a predicted model, not a curated record. The transcript has 4 exons.